GAUGAGAACGUAGCGAAAUGCGAUAAGUAAUGCGAAUUGCAGAAUUUCCGUGAGUCAUCGAAUCUUUGAACGCACAUUGCGCCCACUGGUAUUCCGGUGGGCAUGCCUGUUCGAGCGUCAUUAUCCUCCCUCAAACCCCGGGUUUGGUGUUGGACCCAAGUUGUGUGAACAACUGGUCUCAAAGACAAUGACGGCGUCCGUGGGACCCUCGGUGCAACGAGCUUUUAGGAGCACGCAUCGAGUUGCAAGGACCUUCCGGGCCGGUCUCCUUUACCAUUUUACAAGGUUGACCUCGGAUCAGGUAGGAAUACCCGCUGAACUUAAGCAUAUCAAUAAGCGGAGGA
This 344-nucleotide unclassified non-coding RNA is filed under the name soil metagenome. RNAcentral describes it as "partial contains 5.8S ribosomal RNA, internal transcribed spacer 2, and large subunit ribosomal RNA". The stretch from base 5 to 120 matches the Rfam family "5.8S ribosomal RNA", at positions 40 to 154 of the family's 154-position model. The record is from RNAcentral.